Molecule: unclassified non-coding RNA, 306 nt
Filed under: plant metagenome
Description: partial contains 5.8S ribosomal RNA, internal transcribed spacer 2, and large subunit ribosomal RNA
Rfam family: 5.8S ribosomal RNA (bases 1-105)
Source: RNAcentral
GAAAUGCGAUAAGUAAUGUGAAUUGCAGAAUUCAGUGAAUCAUCGAAUCUUUGAACGCACAUUGCGCCCCUUGGUAUUCCGAGGGGCAUGCCUGUUCGAGCGUCAUUUCAAACCUCAAGCUCUGCUUGGUAUUGGGUCUGGCUCCCCUCCGGGCGGCCGUCCUGAAAGUCAGCGGCGAGGCCGUCCAGCUUCAGGCGUAGUAGAACCUUUCGUCUCGCCUUGCGAGCUUGGGCUGCGCUCGCCGGAUAACCCCCCCAUCCAAAAGGUUGACCUCGGAUCAGGUAGGGAUACCCGCUGAACUUAAGC